ACAGACGUCUCAGGAAACUGGGGGCAACCUGGGGGGAGCCCCGUGGGCUGUGGGAACCCCUGCCCCCGGCUUGGAAGCUGCCCACGGUGGCCUGGUUGCAGCCUGGCAGAUGAGGGGUACAUCACUACUCAGAAUAAACGGCCCCCUCUGCACCCACCUGUCUAGACGAGGGUGACAGGCACCGUCACAGGGCCCCCACCUGACACCUUCCCACCUGGCCAUGCCCCCCCAGAACUGUCAUGGAGCCCAGGAGGCGCCUGUGUGGAGCACGGGGACCUGGCAUGCUGCUGCCCCUAGAUCUCAGACUCCAUCUGAGGACCAGACCUGCUGCCUGUGCCCAGGGAGGGGCCCUGACACCCUCUGUCCCCGUCAGAACAGGGCCCCAAGCCACUGCAUUGCUCCGUCCUCACAUGCCCUCCCUUUCCUCGCAGGGGAGCCUGGAGCUGUUGGUCAGACGGGCAGCCCUGGGCAGCAGGGGGCUAGCACCCAGGGCCUCUGGGAGUGACAGGACAUUUUCUGCACUGCCCCGAGGAACGCUGAGCCUUCCUCCCUGGGUUUCUCUGGACACCGAGAGCGACCACAUCCUGGAGAAGCCAGGAGAAAAGCUCAGGAAGAGCCUGCAGGUGGAAGGAGAGAGAAGCAGCGGCCUCGGCCAAGGCCCACCCCAUGCUCUUGGCUCUGUAGCAUUUCCAAGUUCAGAUAAACCCCUGAGUGCUCACCCA
This 722-nucleotide small RNA is filed under the name Pan troglodytes (chimpanzee). Its description in RNAcentral is "processed transcript". The record is from RNAcentral. Lineage: Eukaryota; Metazoa; Chordata; Mammalia; Primates; Hominidae.